This 396-nucleotide ribosomal RNA is filed under the name uncultured bacterium. RNAcentral's name for it is "bacterial SSU rRNA". It matches the Rfam family "Bacterial small subunit ribosomal RNA", at positions 104 to 499 of the family's 1533-position model. The record is from RNAcentral.
GGGUGCGGAACACGUGUGCAACCUGCCUUUAUCUGGGGGAUAGCCUUUCGAAAGGAAGAUUAAUACCCCAUAAUAUAUAGAUUGGCAUCAAUUUAUAUUGAAAACUCCGGUGGAUAAAGAUAGGCACGCGCAAGAUUAGAUAGUUGGUGAGGUAACGGCUCACCAAGUCAAUGAUCUUUAGGGGGCCUGAGAGGGUGAUCCCCCACACUGGUACUGAGACACGGACCAGACUCCUACGGGAGGCAGCAGUGAGGAAUAUUGGACAAUGGGUGCAAGCCUGAUCCAGCCAUCCCGCGUGAAGGACGACUGCCCUAUGGGUUGUAAACUUCUUUUGUACAGGGAUAAACCUCUCCACGUGUGGAGAGCUGAAGGUACUGUACGAAUAAGCACCGGCUA